This 723-nucleotide ribosomal RNA is filed under the name Leifsonia sp. 1.7-05. RNAcentral's name for it is "bacterial SSU rRNA". It matches the Rfam family "Bacterial small subunit ribosomal RNA", at positions 47 to 782 of the family's 1533-position model. The record is from RNAcentral. Lineage: Bacteria; Bacillati; Actinomycetota; Actinomycetes; Micrococcales; Microbacteriaceae.
UCUUACACAUGCAGUCGAACGAUGAACCAGGAGCUUGCUCUUGGGGAUUAGUGGCGAACGGGUGAGUAACACGUGAGUAACCUGCCCUUGACUCUGGGAUAACCUCCGGAAACGGAAGCUAAUACCGGAUAUGACGCACGGAGGCAUCUCCUGUGCGUGGAAAGAAUUUCGGUCAAGGAUGGACUCGCGGCCUAUCAGGUAGUUGGUGAGGUAACGGCCCACCAAGCCUACGACGGGUAGCCGGCCUGAGAGGGUGACCGGCCACACUGGGACUGAGACACGGCCCAGACUCCUACGGGAGGCAGCAGUGGGGAAUAUUGCACAAUGGGCGCAAGCCUGAUGCAGCAACGCCGCGUGAGGGACGACGGCCUUCGGGUUGUAAACCUCUUUUAGUAGGGAAGAAGCGAAAGUGACGGUACCUGCAGAAAAAGCACCGGCUAACUACGUGCCAGCAGCCGCGGUAAUACGUAGGGUGCAAGCGUUGUCCGGAAUUAUUGGGCGUAAAGAGCUCGUAGGCGGUUUGUCGCGUCUGCUGUGAAAUCCCGAGGCUCAACCUCGGGCCUGCAGUGGGUACGGGCAGACUAGAGUGCGGUAGGGGAGAUUGGAAUUCCUGGUGUAGCGGUGGAAUGCGCAGAUAUCAGGAGGAACACCGAUGGCGAAGGCAGAUCUCUGGGCCGUAACUGACGCUGAGGAGCGAAAGCGUGGGGAGCGAACAGGAUUAGA